Molecule: unclassified non-coding RNA, 205 nt
Filed under: soil metagenome
Description: partial contains 5.8S ribosomal RNA, internal transcribed spacer 2, and large subunit ribosomal RNA
Source: RNAcentral
AACGCACGAGACCUGCGGACCUGCGGAGGGAUCAUUAUAGAGUUUUUAACUCCCAAACCCAUGUGAACUUACCUUUGUUGCCUCGGCGGAGCCUACCCGGUACCUACCCUGUAGCGCCCCGCCGGUGGACUUCUAAACUAUUGUUAUUUUAAUGAUAUCUGAGAGUCUUAUUUUAAUAAGUCAAAACUUUUAGCAAUGGAUCUCU